Molecule: ribosomal RNA, 507 nt
Filed under: uncultured Glomus
Lineage: Eukaryota; Fungi; Glomeromycota; Glomeromycetes; Glomerales; Glomeraceae
Description: SSU rRNA
Rfam family: Eukaryotic small subunit ribosomal RNA
Source: RNAcentral
AGCAGCCGCGGUAAUUCCAGCUCCAAUAGCGUAUAUUAAAGUUGUUGCAGUUAAAAAGCUCGUAGUUGAAUUUCGGGGUUAGUAAGUUGGUCAUGCCUUUGGUAUGCACUGGCUUUACUGAUUCCCCCUUCUUGACGAACCGUGAUGUCAUUAAUUUGGUGUUGCGGGAAAUCAGGACUGUUACUUUGAAAAAAUUAGAGUGUUUAAAGCAGGCUAACGCUCGAAUACAUUAGCAUGGAAUAAUGAAAUAGGACGUUAAUCCUAUUUUGUUGGUUUCUAGGAUCGACGUAAUGAUUAAUAGGGAUAGUUGGGGGCAUUAGUAUUCAAUUGUCAGAGGUGAAAUUCUUGGAUUUAUUGAAGACUAACUACUGCGAAAGCAUUUGCCAAGGAUGUUUUCAUUAAUCAAGAACGAAAGUUAGGGGAUCGAAGACGAUCAGAUACCGUCGUAGUCUUAACCAUAAACUAUGCCGACUAGGGAUCGGAUGAUGUUAAUUUUAUAAUGACUCA